CCCUUAGAUGUCCGGGGCCGCACGCGCGCUACACUGACAAAGGCAACGAGCUACUCUUCACCGAAAGGUGUGGGUAAUCUUUUGAAACUUUGUCGUGCUGGGGAUAGAUCCUUGCAAUUUUUGAUCUUAAACGAGGAAUUCCUAGUAAGCGCAAGUCAUCAACUUGCGUUGAUUACGUCCCUGCCCUUUGUACACACCGCCCGUCGCUACUACCGAUUGAAUGGUUUAGUGAGGCCUUCGGAUCCGCGACUCGUUUGUGGAGAAGUUGGACAAACUCAGUCAUUUAGAGGAAGUAAAAGUCGUAACA
This 307-nucleotide ribosomal RNA is filed under the name uncultured eukaryote. RNAcentral's name for it is "partial 18S ribosomal RNA". It matches the Rfam family "Eukaryotic small subunit ribosomal RNA", at positions 1470 to 1796 of the family's 1831-position model. The record is from RNAcentral.